AGCUUUGCACAGUAUCGCAGCCAAUGAGGUUUAUCUGAGGCGCGAUUAGUGCUAAUUGAAAACUUUUCCGAAUACCCCACCAUGACAACUUGAAAUAUAGUCAGCACUGGCAAUUUUUGACAGUCUCUAUGGAGA
Molecule: small nuclear RNA, 135 nt
Organism: Erinaceus europaeus (western European hedgehog)
Lineage: Eukaryota; Metazoa; Chordata; Mammalia; Eulipotyphla; Erinaceidae
Gene: U4
Rfam family: U4 spliceosomal RNA
About the family: U4 small nuclear RNA (U4 snRNA) is a component of the major U2-dependent spliceosome. The structure of U4 snRNA from yeast and human has been reported.
Source: Ensembl